CCUACGGGUUGCAGCAGUGGGGAAUAUUGGACAAUGGGCGCAAGCCUGAUCCAGCCAUGCCGCGUGUGUGAAGAAGGCCUUAGGGUUGUAAAGCACUUUCAGUGGGGAGGAAGGGUGUUGUGUUAAUAGCACAGCAUUUUGACGUUACCCACAGAAGAAGCACCGGCUAACUCCGUGCCAGCAGCCGCGGUAAUACGGAGGGUGCAAGCGUUAAUCGGAAUUACUGGGCGUAAAGCGCACGCAGGCGGCUUUUUAAGUCGGAUGUGAAAGCCCCGGGCUCAACCUGGGAAUUGCAUCUGAUACUGGGAAGCUAGAGUAUGUGAGAGGGGGGUAGAAUUCCAAGUGUAGCGGUGAAAUGCGUAGAGAUUUGGAGGAAUACCAGUGGCGAAGGCGGCCCCCUGGCACAAUACUGACGCUCAGGUGCGAAAGCGUGGGGAGCAAACAGGAUUAGAUACCCCAGUAGUC
RNAcentral lists this ribosomal RNA (465 nucleotides) under uncultured bacterium. RNAcentral describes it as "bacterial SSU rRNA". It matches the Rfam family "Bacterial small subunit ribosomal RNA", at positions 338 to 795 of the family's 1533-position model. The record is from RNAcentral.